Molecule: non-coding RNA, 995 nt
Organism: Salvelinus sp. IW2-2015
Lineage: Eukaryota; Metazoa; Chordata; Actinopteri; Salmoniformes; Salmonidae
Source: RefSeq, a predicted model, not a curated record
AGGAGUGAUGUGCCACUACAACAUGGUGAGGCUGAUGCUAAUCCCCAACGAGGAGACUGUAGAGUACGGAGCCACCAAACACCGGGGAGCAGCAACAAACACCGCCAGACCAGAAACCAUGGAUUUCAGCAGGGCAGUUCUCCAGAGAGGUAUUGGCUUUGUGCAGUCUUACCUGAACUGCCUGAUGAAACCCCCAGGGCCACAGGAAUCAUUCGAAGCCAGUUUCAAGACCCUGUAGUUACUAGAACAGUUUGUCUAAAUUCAGUACAAAGACUCAGCACUGUUUAAGGGGUGUCUCUCCCACAGGCACCAAUGCUAUGGCAGCUGUGUCUGGUCUGCUUAGUUCACUGACAAUAUAUGGACAAAAAAUCGGAGGGAGUGGAAUGCUCGCUUCCAUCCUUGAAAUAACCUUUGGAGCGGGUUUGUUGUUUGUGACCACCAUUAUUUCCUUGACGUAGCCAUACUCACUGAUUACCCAACUCUUAGUCGACUGAAAAUGUCUCAACUACAGUUGCUGCGUGUGUUUUUAAAUGAGCGUUUAAUGGCUACUGCUGUCAAGAUUUUCGGGGCAGUUGAGAAACCUAUGGCGGAGUACCAAGAGAAUGAUAGGCUACAGAGACUGCUGCGGAAAACACAGGAGACUUCCUGCAGCUCUCUCCUGCUGUCUCUGAAGAGGUUCUCCCUGGGCACUGUGAGCAGGAGCAGAGCCUUAGUCUAAGACAGGAGAACACUGAGCCCACACAGAUUAAAGAGGAGGAAGUCGGGACCAGUCAGGAGAAAGAACCGCUUCAAGAACUCUUUGAUACCAAAGAAUCCAUAUUCGCUCCUCCCUGUGUGACAAGUGAAUGUGAUGAUGAGGACCCACUUCAGUCCUUGAUUCUUCCUCAAAUCCAGACUGUGGAGAACAGUGUGACCCUAAACAASUGAAUCUCACACCUUUUGGCACUGUGACUCCGCUUAAGGCUCUCAACAUUCCAUGUGACCCUCCAAAUAAU